Molecule: ribosomal RNA, 253 nt
Filed under: uncultured bacterium
Lineage: Bacteria
Description: partial 16S ribosomal RNA
Rfam family: Bacterial small subunit ribosomal RNA
Source: RNAcentral
UACGUAGGGGGCAAGCGUUGUCCGGAUUUAUUGGGCGUAAAGAGCGUGUAGGCGGUUAGGUAGGUCCGUUGUGAAAACUCGAGGCUCAACCUCGAGACGCCGAUGGAAACCAUUUGGCUAGAGUCCGGAAGAGGAGAGUGGAAUUCCUGGUGUAGCGGUGAAAUGCGCAGAUAUCAGGAGGAACACCGAUGGCGAAGGCAGGUCUCUGGGCCGAUACUGACGCUGAGGAGCGAAAGCGUGGGGAGCGAACAGG